This 496-nucleotide ribosomal RNA is filed under the name uncultured bacterium. RNAcentral describes it as "partial 16S ribosomal RNA". It matches the Rfam family "Bacterial small subunit ribosomal RNA", at positions 29 to 507 of the family's 1533-position model. The record is from RNAcentral.
AUGAACGCUGGCGGCGUGCCUAAUACAUGCAAGUCGAGCGAACGGACGAGAAGCUUGCUUCUCUGAUGUUAGCGGCGGACGGGUGAGUAACACGUGGAUAACCUACCUAUAAGACUGGGAUAACUUCGGGAAACCGGAGCUAAUACCGGAUAAUAUUUUGAACCGCAUGGUUCAAAAGUGAAAGACGGUCUUGCUGUCACUUAUAGAUGGAUCCGCGCUGCAUUAGCUAGUUGGUAAGGUAACGGCUUACCAAGGCAACGAUGCAUAGCCGACCUGAGAGGGUGAUCGGCCACACUGGAACUGAGACACGGUCCAGACUCCUACGGGAGGCGGCAGUAGGGAAUCUUCCGCAAUGGGCGAAAGCCUGACGGAGCAAUGCCGCGUGAGUGAUGAAGGUCUUCGGAUCGUAAAACUCUGUUAUUAGGGAAGAACAUAUGUGUAAGUAACUGUGCACAUCUUGACGGUACCUAAUCAGAAAGCCACGGCUAACUACGUG